This 30-nucleotide non-coding RNA is filed under the name Mus musculus (house mouse). Lineage: Eukaryota; Metazoa; Chordata; Mammalia; Rodentia; Muridae. The record is from RNAcentral.
UGCAAAAUGUGCAUGUCACUAGGCUUACGU